Long non-coding RNA from Lolium perenne, 2216 nucleotides. RefSeq lists it as uncharacterized. The record is from RefSeq and is a predicted model, not a curated record. Lineage: Eukaryota; Viridiplantae; Streptophyta; Magnoliopsida; Poales; Poaceae.
UCCAGCAGCCCCGCACCCUGCCCCCUGCCGCCCGACGCCGGCCCCAUCCACUCCUCGCCGGUUCCCUCCCCCGGCAACCACCUCCCCUCGGGGAUUCCAAGAUCGGGAGGGAGGAUCGGAGCCUUAGCUAGCCACCUCCCCGAUCCCCUUUCUCUCGUUCUUCUUUCCCUCUCCUAGAUCACCUCGCUAGGGCUUCUCCCCCCUCCACGAUCUAGCAGCCGCAGCGGCCAGCGAGGAGCAGCACCAGCAAUGGCAUCCGGCGGUGGCACGCUUGGAGCAUGGACAUCGACAGGGAGGAGGUCAAGGUCUAGAUCUGAAGCAGCGCGAGCCGCUGCUGGAGGCGGAGUUGAAUGUGCUCUGCCUCAUGGCCAUGGAGAUCCUCGUUGAGGAGAGCAACGUCCACCGCAUCGAACCCCGGCCCAUCAAGAUACGUGAAGAACCACCAUCAUAUUCAACAUCUGUCCUACAGAAGCGUGAGUCGUUUGACAACCCCCAUGCGGGUGUGGGAGUCGAAGUUCUGGAUCACACGAGGAUACUGAUAAGAGUUCCAGUUUCGGGAAUCCUCAAUCCGGGAAAGCAUUGUAUGACUUCACAAGGUGGCGAUGACGAGCUGAGUUUGAACUCUCGAGAAGAUGUCGAUCGAAUAUGAGGUUGAUGGUUGGUACUACGUAAAGAAAAAUAGAUCUAGAAGGGAUGGGAAGAUAGCAGGUCUGGUGCCUGCUUUGUAUGUGAGCUCGUGAUAGCAAUGAACCUUGUGAAAUACUACUCUGAGAGCGGUUUCUAUUGAAUUUGGUAACUAAUAUGGUAUCGAUAAUGAAGUAGUUAUAAGAGUAUGUGGUCAAGUAGAAUCACUGUCGACUUCAGGAACGGCUGUCGCAGAUGGGUAAAGGUACAAAUUGCUCUGGGGGUGGAUCGAAGAUGGACUUUGGCUCGUGAUGCCGGUUCAAGUUAGUGCUUGCACAUCCCAUCCUGCUCAAGGCUACUUGAUAUCUCGCUCACACCUAAGGUGCACAUGUUCUCCCCCUUUCCUCCAGCGUGAUUUGGCCGAUCUAUGUCCAGGAGCGAGGUUGGAGGCGCACUGGUCUAGGGCUGUCCAUGUUGUGAUGUUACUUUGAUUCAUUCACCUUUUGUUAUUCAGAUCCUUUUUUUCCGAUCCCCAGCUACCCGGUUUAUCUUGUUAUGCUGGAGGUUUUGCUGCUAUCUGGCAAUAUUGUAUAUUGCAUAUUUUAGGCUGCAUAUUUGUGUUUUAUGAAACAACCAAUCAGGUUUUGAAAUUUAUUUACCCAUUUGGUCAAAUCUGUAAAGUUAUUAGGAUGGUUAUGUGAAUAAUGCAGAGAAACAAUAUUUUACAUGACAUGUUGCAUCUACUUUUUUAUAUACCUUCUACAAAGAAAUUUCUUGGCAGCUAUAUCCUUCCCGUUUUCAUUGUUUUUAUGCAUUGAAAAUUUACUUUCAGGCACAAUAAAUCCUUUGCUAAUUCUGAUGCUUAUGCAUAACUUCAUCUAGCUGCCUUUUACAAUACACAUUUUGUGACCGGUGUCAAAAAUAGAUGUCUACACUGUGUCCUUUCUUGCAUCGCUACAGUGUGGACUCUAAUUUUGUUGGCCAAUCAAGGAACAAGGAAAUGCUGACGCAAUUUAAAAUGUUCUUUCUUGCAUUGCUAUAGUCUAGACCCAUUAUUGCUACAGUUGUGCUUUCUGUUUUCAAAGAGACGCCAUUAGAUCAAAUAAAUAGCCCAUAUUUUCAUGAUUAAAUUGUGUCCUUCGGUGUUCUCAUGAUACUACUAGGCUGCUCUAUUAAAUGAUAAAAGAUCGUUAGAUAGCCAGGAAUUUUACUACUGGUUUGAUGAUGUUGGGUGAUAAUAAUUACUGAUACUUCCCUUUAAAUAUGUUGAUUGUAUUUAAUUUGCAAUUUGCAGAAUUACCACUGUUCAUUACAACAAUUCAUUGAAAAUACCAAAAUUCUUCACAAGUUCCCUUCAGGCAGAUAAGAAGAGAAGAGAUGAUCAUAGGGAGUUGGGAUAACUGGUCCAAAUCAAAUCAGCUAACAGUGUGCUUCAAGAAGUUUAAGAAGAAACACUAACAUUGGCGCAUGCAGUUUGCCCCGUGUUCUAGCUGAAGUCAUCAACAAUCAAAUUUAUAGUUGAUAGAGCAAAUAUUGUAUUCACUUUCUGCUUUCACAGUGCAUGCAUGUAAGAACUGGUGUUUAUAUCACAA